This 404-nucleotide ribosomal RNA is filed under the name uncultured bacterium. RNAcentral describes it as "bacterial SSU rRNA". It matches the Rfam family "Bacterial small subunit ribosomal RNA", at positions 355 to 776 of the family's 1533-position model. The record is from RNAcentral.
UUGGGGAUAUUGCACAAUGGGGGAAACCCUGAUGCAGCGACGCCGCGUGAGGGAAGAAGGUUUUCGGAUUGUAAACCUCUGUCCUCAGGGAAGAUAAUGACGGUACCUGAGGAGGAAGCCACGGCUAACUACGUGCCAGCAGCCGCGGUAAUACGUAGGUGGCAAGCGUUGUCCGGAAUUACUGGGUGUAAAGGGAGCGUAGGCGGUAUUGCAAGUUGAAUGUGAAAUCUAUCGGCUCAACUGAUAGGCUGCGUUCAAAACUGUAGUACUUGAGUGAAGUAGAGGCAGGCGGAAUUCCCGGUGUAGCGGUGGAAUGCGUAGAUAUCGGGAGGAACACCAGUGGCGAAGGCGGCCUGCUGGGCUUUAACUGACGCUGAGGCUCGAAAGCAUGGGGAGCAAACAGG